AAAAUGUUGCAUUUGACACCUCAGAUUGCUCUGUAGGAAGUCCCUCAGGGACUGUGCUGUGUGGUUAGAAUCUUCUUGGGUUGGGGAGUGGUGCAGGCACAGUGGUGCCUCUGCUUUGCUGGUGCGGGGUGCAGUGGGCUGCCUCAUGUUGAUAGCACAGUGUCAGAUUUAAAUAUGGUUACACAUGUGAGCAUGUCUGUAAAACAACUGGGAUAUGAAACGCUAAGAUAGUAACAAAUUUCUUGUUUCUUUUUAUCCACUUGAGUGAAUCUUACAGUUUCACUGGGUUAAAAUUGGUGUUACAUGGAAUUCUUUUUCCUAAGAUAGUUUCCUUUUACCUUUCACAAUUUACAGGGGAUAUUAAUUAUAAGGAUAAGUUGGGUUUAUUAGACGUUAUUGAUGAUUUUGAGACUAAAAUUUGCUUUUCCUGAGUAGGUAUCUUUUAUUAAGUCUAUCUGAGUUUUGUCAGCUGUCCAGUUUCAUAAUUGUGUUUAUCGAGAUGCAGAAAAUCAGAUACUGCUUAGGCAUGCUUUGAAGGUGUGUGGUUAAAAAAAAAAAAAAACCUCUGAAGAUUUGGGAAGUUCUGUGGUCAUUAUUUAGCAUCAUGAUGGAGUGAUAAAAAUGUUGUUGCCAGCAUAUUCUUAAUUUCUCCUUAAGGCUACAGAGAGCUUAGAGAGAGGGGCCCUUUAGUAUAUUGAGUUGGCAGUAUUUGUUGAUAGUUGGCUUAGUACCUCAGGGCUCCAUGAGGCAGAACAUCAUGGUGGAAAAGUGUGGCAGAGGGAAACAGAGAGAGGUCUCCACUUGCCAGCAGAUCAUAGUAAUGUGCCAAGUUAAAUUAUCUAAUGUGUAAAAUAUACCGUGCAUUGUGUAUAAUGAGCCUCUUUCAUUUGCAGUGGGCCUUAUGCUUUGGAUUCAUUCACCUAUGGCUGCUUGAGCCGAGGCCGAGCAGCCUGCGCCUGAUGUGCCAGUCCACACUCACUGGGAGGUAGCUUAUGUAAAAUGGACAGAAAGGGUUUGCUUAACAAAUUAAUAAUAACUAAAUAAUUAAAAUUAACAAUACAUUAGGUGAGAGACUUAGUUUUAUUCAAGGAUAAGAGCAAAACCAACCUUUGAAAGUGUAACAUCAGGAAAUGUCCAUUACUGAGGCAGCCUUCCUGUUGCUCCUUGCUCUCCCUUCAUUCACAUCUUCUGUUCUGAACCUUAACCAACUUCAAUGCUAGAAAAUUAUCUUUGGAAAACAGGUGCGUGUGGUAGGUGCCUCUCAGGCCUGGUGCAGGUGUAUGUGCAAGUGGCGGUGGCAGGGUAGCGUCAGGGCCCCAGUGCUUCUGUGGACUCAUCCCAUUCCUGAGGAACGCAGGGACACUCCUCUGCCAGUGACUGGUGCUGUCACUCAGCUCCUAGAGCAAGAACUCGGCUUCACCCUUGUUACUUUAUGAACUUUUCCUUCACUUUUUAAUCAAAUACAAUAGUGAAAGCUAACCUUUUACUCCAUUUUUGACAAUUUCAUAAAGCAUGGCACAUGAAAUAAUGACAAUUCUGUAUCUUCCCUUAUACCAAUUGACCUGUAACUCCUUAAAACCAACCUCAGAUUCUUUUUUGCUUUUUCUUUUUUACAAAGGAAAUGCAGCAUUUUCUGUGUACACACGUAUUUCAGCCAUCCCUGUCAGGAUCAUCAGUCACUUUAGGUGAAGCUCAUGUAAACCCACCCUGGCUUGCAGGCCCCAAAGCCUGUAUUGCCUUUAACUGCACGUGGGAAAUGUCCAGGUGGCCCCUCACCUGACAAGAGACCCAAGCCAAAGACAGGGCAUGGCAAGUGCAGCCUCAGCUUACCUAAAGAAGCCUGGGUUCCCAGCAGGUGGGCAUCAGGCAGAGGCUGGGUGGACCUGGGGGUGAGGUGGGGCCUUUGUGUCUGGACUUCAGAACAUGUUUGCUCAAUUUGCUAAUGUAGAUUGCUAGAACUUUCUGUGCUUACAGAUGACUGCUAACAGUGGAGACAAAUACAACUUUGAAAAGACUUUGUUGGCAGGCUAAAUUAUAUAAGAGCCCCUGAUACAACUGUGGAGUUUUUAGCUUUUUAAAAAAUGUAUGCUCUCACUAGUGAGGCCUUCUAAAAGUGUAUUUUUAAUCGCAGCUAUGCUGUGUUCAAAUGAUUAAAACUGGAGCUUUCGCACUUCUGACAUUUUUUUGAAAGUGAGAGUGUAAAGUCGGGUGAACGAGGUUUGCAUUAUUAGGGCAAAAGCUAAUGUCUUGACAGAAACAUGGCAUUAAAUCUGAAUUAACAAAUGCAGAGGUUUUACUUUGGGGCUGCAGUUUUUAAGUAUGCAUUUCAAUUAGAAUUCAUUUAAACCAAACAGAUCAAAACAGUAUAAUGAGGGAAAUCUAAUCAUGAUGUUCUAAGUCACAGGCUCAUUAUCAAGUGUUUUGUGUGUAUCAUCACAGGCAGAAUUGCGUUUUAUUCCAGAGCCACUCUGGACUCUGAAAGGUUCCAGAGUAUCAGCACCAGAACAGGGCAGCCUGGCAGUGUGAUUCCUGGUGAAUUUGGCAUACCAGACAGGUAGCAGCUCUCCUUAUUUCAAAAACAAGCUAAUGAGUAAAAUAAAUUGGUCAGAGAGAGCCAGGAAUUGCUUAGCUUCACAACUGAGAGGAGUUUGGGGCAGGCAGCACUGGGGUCCAGUGGAGGAUCCCCCGGGUUGCUAGGCUUGGAGCAUAAGCAAGCCCAGGGCAGUAGAAACUUGUCAAGGAGAGGGUGCUGCUGUUAGGCCCUGAGCUUGACCAGAAAGCCACAGAGAAAGUGGACACUCAGUGCCCCCGCCUGGCCUUGUGAGCACCUCCAGCAUGGCCUGUGGUGGAGGCUGCAUGGGUUGGUUCUGGUUUUCUGCCUUGGGGCCUUUCCCAGAGUCUUCAGAACUUGCCCAGUUCUCAUUCAGGGUGCCUGGGAAGAAGGGAACCCCUCAAGGGCCACCCUGGAUGAUGGGAGUGGAGUCCCAGUCUCCUGUCCUACAAGGGCAUGGCUAUGUGGCUUGUCAAGACAGCUGACCAAAGAACCCAGCCUAGCAACACCUCUUACAAUUCUCUAGUUGUCCUUUGGGAGUGGCUCCCAGAUCCUUUAUGGGACCUUAGCUUUGAGGCAAGCCCACACCAAGCCAGUCCCAGACUGACAGCAUACCCGCUGGCAGAGGGGAGAGAGGGGCCUGCUUCUCAAUUGUGACAGGAGGGCCCUAGGGUGACCAUCAGGUUGAGACCUAGUCCUAAGCCCCCAUUCUUUCCAUAUAGAACUUUCUCCUGGAGGAAAGUUCAUGCUGGCGCCAGUGUGAGCAGGUCUGGGGGUCUGUAGUUCCCUCCUGAGCUGCUGCACCAAGAGCUUACCUAAUUCAUCGCCAAGCAGUGUGUGGCUGGUGGUCACCAAAAAAAAUCUAUUCUUACCAUUCCUGUUCCUUCUCAGGGCUCUUUUCUAAUCCCUUUUCCAAAAUAUUUUGGAGGGUGACACUGGGAACUAAGCCCAGGUGCACUACACCACUGAG
Molecule: long non-coding RNA, 3521 nt
Filed under: Marmota monax (woodchuck)
Lineage: Eukaryota; Metazoa; Chordata; Mammalia; Rodentia; Sciuridae
Source: RNAcentral